This 427-nucleotide ribosomal RNA is filed under the name uncultured bacterium. Its description in RNAcentral is "partial 16S ribosomal RNA". It matches the Rfam family "Bacterial small subunit ribosomal RNA", at positions 355 to 774 of the family's 1533-position model. The record is from RNAcentral.
UGGGGAAUAUUGCACAAUGGGCGCAAGCCUGAUGCAGCCAUGCCGCGUGUAUGAAGAAGGCCUUCGGGUUGUAAAGUACUUUCAGCGGGGAGGAAGGCGAUAAGGUUAAUAACCUUGUCGAUUGACGUUACCCGCAGAAGAAGCACCGGCUAACUCCGUGCCAGCAGCCGCGGUAAUACGGAGGGUGCAAGCGUUAAUCGGAAUUACUGGGCGUAAAGCGCACGCAGGCGGUCUGUCAAGUCGGAUGUGAAAUCCCCGGGCUCAACCUGGGAACUGCAUUCGAAACUGGCAGGCUAGAGUCUUGUAGAGGGGGGUAGAAUUCCAGGUGUAGCGGUGAAAUGCGUAGAGAUCUGGAGGAAUACCGGUGGCGAAGGCGGGCCCCUGGACAAAGACUGACGCUCAGGUGCGAAAGCGUGGGGAGCAAACA